RNAcentral lists this microRNA precursor (153 nucleotides) under Medicago truncatula (barrel medic). RNAcentral's name for it is "MIR2619 microRNA precursor family". It matches the Rfam family "MIR2619 microRNA precursor family". The record is from Rfam by way of RNAcentral. Lineage: Eukaryota; Viridiplantae; Streptophyta; Magnoliopsida; Fabales; Fabaceae.
AAACAGCCCCCUAUGUUUUGAUUCUUUGGCAGUUUUGGACCCCCAAGGCAAAAAUAAAUUUAAAAAAAUGACACGUGGCACCCUCAGUGUUGACCGAGUCAACAAUGGACUGGGUCCAAAACUGCCAAAGAAUCAAAACAUAGGGGGUUGUUU